AUUCAAGUAGUUUAUAAAAAUAUUAGUUUGUGGAACUAGAGAUGUGUAUUAAUUACCUUGGAUA
RNAcentral lists this transfer RNA (64 nucleotides) under Deporaus tristis. Its description in RNAcentral is "tRNA-His". It matches the Rfam family "tRNA". Rfam says of the family: Transfer RNA (tRNA) molecules are approximately 80 nucleotides in length. Their secondary structure includes four short double-helical elements and three loops (D, anti-codon, and T loops). Lineage: Eukaryota; Metazoa; Arthropoda; Insecta; Coleoptera; Attelabidae. The record is from RNAcentral.